AUGAAGGUAACGUGAAGCAGCACCUCCUUUCUUCGGAUAGUGCCCUAGUAGAUGGAACACACCGCUAGUUGAGGUUCUGAUCUCUGUAUUCCAUGAAUACGUCGACGGUGAAGUAAAAGCCGGGCGCCUAAGGAACAUUAUCUUCGAGGAACACGAAUGGGAAAAUGUUGAUUGCGAAGUAGAAGUGGAAAUGAUCCCCGAGCAAGACGAAUGGGAAAAAUUGCAUUGCACUUUCAUCGACAGGGCGAUCGCAGCAAACAUACCGUUCGGAACCAAGGAUCCCCGUUACUGCUUCAGAGAUGCGCCACAAGAUUUUGGCCAUGAUACGCAACUCGUCUUGCUGAAAUGGUUUAGUUCUGUGAUUUGGUUAGAAAGAGGGAAGAAAGAGACUGUAUUUUGUUGUUAAUUUCAUUUUGGUGAUAUAUUAGUAUGAAAUAUUUGCUUCAUUUUAUGUU
Long non-coding RNA from Salvia splendens (bonfire salvia), 455 nucleotides. RefSeq lists it as uncharacterized. The transcript has 2 exons. The record is from RefSeq and is a predicted model, not a curated record. NCBI's taxonomy places the organism in Eukaryota, Viridiplantae, Streptophyta, Magnoliopsida, Lamiales, Lamiaceae.